Molecule: long non-coding RNA, 725 nt
Organism: Populus nigra (black poplar)
Lineage: Eukaryota; Viridiplantae; Streptophyta; Magnoliopsida; Malpighiales; Salicaceae
Exons: 2
Source: RefSeq, a predicted model, not a curated record
UUAUUUUAUUAUUUUCUGAUUAUGGGUAUGUUUUUUUUAUUUGACAUUGAGGGCAGUCAACGGUGAGCUAACUCCCAGGUUUCCUAGCAAGAAAGCAUGAUUCGGGCCUAUGGUUGAUUCAUCAAGUUGUUCCUUUUCUUUUUCCUUUUUUUUUUAACUUCUCGCUGUUCAUUUUUUUAUCUUAUCUUAUCCAGCGCCAGACAAGAAAAAGGAAAGGUUGAGGAAUCUUAAAAUUUCGAAAGUGCUGCUUAGAAAAUGUUGCAGAUGGGGCACGAGUAGAAUACUGACCAAUUUCGCCCGCUGAAUGGAGAUUUCGAGCAUCUAACUAGUAACGUUACUGGCAUCCAUCCACUACUUCAAAGAAGCCGUACACUCAAAUCCCAAUUGAAUCAGGAUAAGUAACGUUACUGGCAUCCAUCCAAUAUAUAUAUAAUGUAUGUAUCCCUUGAAUAGAGAAACAAAGUGCGUGUGGCUCAAGUAAUCAAUCAGAACUCCAACCCAGAAGCAUGAAGAAGCGGGUGAUCUCAAUUUUGUCGAAAUAAAUACUAAAAGAUAAGAGAAUUUAUUGGCUUGUCAAAUUUAAACCACUCGUCUACGAAAUGAUCUCUCCAAAAACCAAUUGAAGAAUCGCAAAUAUUCUUUCCCUUGCUUCUCAAGUUCCUCUUGUGUCGAUUAUUUUCUUGUCCGGCCAUGCCUUCAAAUUAUACUCGGUAUUUUCGUUGACC